CCUUUAAGAACCAAUAAGGUUCAUAACCAAGAGUAUUUGUAACCAGAAUGAGAGUAUGAGUAACCAAGAUUUUGAGAAUAAGUAGCCAAGAGAAUAGAGUAACCAGAAUGAGAGAUUUAGUAACCAAGAAUAAGAGAUUUUGCGGAAUAGAAAGGAGAAUAAGUGUUUGGGUGUUUGUGGGUGUUUGGACAGAGAUUUCCUCUGGUUUUCUUUGCUUAUAAAAGCCAAAGCAGCUCAGAUCUUUCAACUUGGCUCUGAUACCAUGUAAGAUUUCAAAGAGAAUGAGCUGCAAGAUCCAAUCUCCUCCAUAAACUCACAAGAAACUCACAAGAACACCAAAUCUGAGUUUGUGUGCUCUUGUUUAUAACAAUCAAGAACGAACUCAAUGAGAGCUAUUCUUGAGGUUAUAAACUAAGUAAUACACGCCCAUUUAAGCUGUAUACACUUGAGAAUAAGCAUUAGAGACAGCAGCACUCUCACACCAAAAACAGAACCCAAAACCCUUAUAGAAUCGAUUUAGAGAUUGAAAGAGAAUUGAAUGAGAGAAUGGGAUGAGACCAAGCAUUGCCAAAGCUUGGUCUCUCCAUGAGUUUGUGUGCUCUUGUGUAUAACAAUCAAGAACGAACUCAAUGAGAGCUAUUCUUGAGGUUAUAAACUAAGUAAUACACGCCCAUUUAAGCUGUAUACACUUGAGAAUAAGCAUUAGAGACAGCAGCACUCUCACACCAAAAACAGAACCCAAAACCCAUAUAGAAUCGAUUUAGAGAGUGGAAGAGAAUUGAAUGAGAGAAUGGGAUGAGACCAAGCAUUGCCAAAGCUUGGUCUCUCCAUGAGAGAAUAAAGAUCAGAACUUCCCCAUUUGUGAGUAUAAGACACGAUUUUAGUAUAGGGGAAGACUCCCCAAAGGAGAGCUUAACUUCUAUUAAGCUUUAAGCAUACAUAUAUAUACAAAAUGAAUGAGACACAUUGGGUGGCUUGUUGCUCUACUUCCCAACGUCUAUAUUGUUCAAAUACACUCACUUACAACCAAAAUAAAGUAGCUAAAGUGAAGAGAAAGUGACUUGAGGAGAGAGAGGGAGUUGCACCCAAAGCUUGAUAGCGACAGCUCCUAAACGGCUCUCUAGGUGCAACAUGUGACUCUUUCUUCUUCCUUCCCUUUAAACGACCAAAAUGCUUUCUUGUAGUGAUAGUGACAGCUUCUAGACUCUUCUUAACUUCACAUGUGAUUUGUUGCAACUUGCUUUGCUUCCAAACACAUGUGACACUUUUAUUUUCCCACCUAAACACAUUUGAAUGUGUUUCAAUACUUGUUGAGCGUUUGCAGCCUUUCUUCUAUUGGUUCUUGGGCUUCUAAGUGUUGACACAAGUCUUGGGCCUUCAUUAAACUCAUUUUCUCCAAGCCCCAUACGAACUGCCUUCUCUUUACCCAUCUUGAUUUCGACAAUUCCUACGGACCGAUCGUUCUACUAGAUAGAUCGAUCGGUCCCUUGUUGUUGAUCACAACAACUCAUGGAGGAUAGCUCAUGUCUUCAUCCAUAGAAGUUUUCUUCAGCCUUGACACUCUUAAGCUUCUUCUUAUAUCCAUGAUAACCCAUUUACUUUGAUCACAAAGUCCGUACGACAUGCGUUGAAUGCACUUAUGAUCAAACCACCGGAUGUAUGAUCUAGCUUCUUUCAUCACUUCUUCCCAUCGAGUUCAGUACCUUCUUGACUUGUGCUCAUUUAUUUCAAUACUCCCCCUCAAGCUUGACCGGAAUGGAUGGAGGUUAAGCUUGGACGUAAAUGAGCAUGAUCAAGUAUCACUCCUUGAACCACAUGAACUCGCCCUAGUCUUGUAGACUUUGGACUUGAGCUUUACCAUUAGCUUCUUCCUCUCAAUACUCCCCCUCAAGCUUGGACAUUGGGGACCAAAGACCAAGCUUGCAACACAUAAAGGACUACCUCGUUAAAAACCUUAGCAAAGAAAACCACUUGGGAUAAAACUUUGCUAAGGGAAAAAGAGUAUAGCCUUCAUGGUUGAAUGAUGUAGCUAUGGUCAUGGUUUGUAUGCGGGUUUGCUUAGGCUUCUUGCUUUGACUUCUUGUUGAGACUCUAAUCCUCCGUGUGUGUACUCGCUUAAGGAACUCCUCCUUUCGGUCACCACCAUGGAUUGAUCUUUCUUUGUUUAGUCAAUUCACCAUGAGCCUUGCUUCUUCCCUUUCCAUACCGUAGCUUUCAUGAUCCAACCGGUUCUCUUCUUCUCAUCUAGCUUCUUUUGAUGGCUUUCUUUCUCUUUUACACCUUCAUUCAAAAGAUGUAAAGAAAUCUUAAGUAUAUGUGCCAUAAGAAUAACAUUAAGCUUAGAUGAGACUUGAGAGAACAAACUUAUAUUGAACUNNN
This 2379-nucleotide long non-coding RNA is filed under the name Capsella rubella. RNAcentral's name for it is "long non-coding RNA (CRUB_LNC000366)". The record is from RNAcentral. Lineage: Eukaryota; Viridiplantae; Streptophyta; Magnoliopsida; Brassicales; Brassicaceae.